This 282-nucleotide ribosomal RNA is filed under the name uncultured bacterium. Its description in RNAcentral is "partial 16S ribosomal RNA". It matches the Rfam family "Bacterial small subunit ribosomal RNA", at positions 28 to 303 of the family's 1533-position model. The record is from RNAcentral.
GAUGAACGCUGGCGGCGUGCCUAAUACAUGCAAGUCGAACGAGGUGCCUUUGUAGCAAUACGAAGGUAUCCUAGUGGCGAACGGGUGAGUAACGCGUUGGUGACCUGCCCCAAAGUGUGGGAUAACAGAUCGAAAGAUCUGCUAAUACCGCAUGUGGUCUUCGGAUUUAGAAACUGAUGACUAAAGGAGCAAUUCGCUUUGGGAGGGACCUGCGUCCCAUCAGCUAGUUGGUGAGGUAAUGGCUCACCAAGGCUACGACGGGUAGGGGACCUGAGAGGGUGG